This 253-nucleotide ribosomal RNA is filed under the name uncultured prokaryote. RNAcentral describes it as "partial 16S ribosomal RNA". It matches the Rfam family "Bacterial small subunit ribosomal RNA", at positions 524 to 776 of the family's 1533-position model. The record is from RNAcentral.
UACGAACUGUGCGAACGUUAUUCGGAAUCACUGGGCUUACAGGGUGCGUAGGCGGUCUGUUAAGUAGGGUGUGAAAGCCCCCGGCUCAACCGGGGAAUGGCGCCCUAAACUGGCGGACUGGAGUGGGAUAGGGGUGUGCGGAACUUCCGGUGGAGCGGUGAAAUGUGUUGAUGUCGGAAGGAACGCCGGUGGCGAAAGCGGCACACUGGAUCUCAACUGACGCUGAGGCACGAAAGCCAGGGGAGCGAACGGG